UACGUAGGUGGCGAGCGUUGUCCGGAAUUACUGGGUGUAAAGGGAGCGCAGGCGGGGAAGCAAGUCAGCUGUGAAAUCUAUGGGCUUAACCCAUAACGUGCAGUUGAAACUGUUUUCUUGAGUGGAGUAGAGGUAGGCGGAAUUCCGAGUGUAGCGGUGAAAUGCGUAGAGAUCACACAGAAUAUCGAUUGCGAAGGCAGCUCACAAAGCCAAGAUUGACGCUGAGGCACGAAAGUGUGGGGAUCAAACAGGAUUA
This 256-nucleotide ribosomal RNA is filed under the name uncultured prokaryote. RNAcentral's name for it is "partial 16S ribosomal RNA". It matches the Rfam family "Bacterial small subunit ribosomal RNA", at positions 524 to 780 of the family's 1533-position model. The record is from RNAcentral.